RNAcentral lists this ribosomal RNA (458 nucleotides) under uncultured bacterium. RNAcentral describes it as "bacterial SSU rRNA". It matches the Rfam family "Bacterial small subunit ribosomal RNA", at positions 29 to 506 of the family's 1533-position model. The record is from RNAcentral.
AUGAACGCUGGCGGCGUGGAUAAGGCAUGCAAGUCAAACGGACCGCCUCCGCAAGGAGGCGAUUAGUGGCGAACGAGUUAGUAACACCCUGGUACGUACCCCGAAGUCGGGCAUAAUCCGCCGAAAGGCGGACUAAUUCCCGAUAGUCCCGAAAGGGUAAAGAAGCAAUUCGCUUCGGGAGCGGCCUAGGUCCCAUCAGCUUGUUGGCGAGGUAAUGGCUCACCAAGGCUAUGACGGGUAGGAGGCGUGAGAGCGCGUCCUCCAACGAGGGAACUGAGACACGGUCCUUACACCUACGGGUGGCUGCAGUCGAGAAUAUUUGACAAUGGGCGAAAGCCUGAUCGAGCGACGCCGCGUGCAGGAAGAAGGGCUUCGGCCUGUAAACUGCUUUUGCGUGGGAAGAAUCCGGCUUAUGCCGGAGUGACGGUACCACGAGAAUAAGGGGUUGCUAACCUCGU